GGGUUAAAUAAAUUUUGGUAGUUCAAUGGAGGUAGUAAAUAGUUUGAUUCCAGUAUUUCACUUAACAUCCUCAUAUGAAUAAAUCUUCUAUUUUGGAUUUCUAGAAUUAAAAGAAAAUUAUUGUUUUUUCUCGAAGUAUUAAAAGCAAGUAGUUGAAGGAUUUUUCUGAUUAUGGAGGUAGUUGAAAGAAAUUUUAAAAUGGAUUGCUUCCUAUUCCUUUUUUG
RNAcentral lists this unclassified non-coding RNA (224 nucleotides) under Hevea brasiliensis (rubber tree). Lineage: Eukaryota; Viridiplantae; Streptophyta; Magnoliopsida; Malpighiales; Euphorbiaceae. The record is from RNAcentral.